Molecule: ribosomal RNA, 492 nt
Filed under: uncultured bacterium
Lineage: Bacteria
Description: partial 16S ribosomal RNA
Rfam family: Bacterial small subunit ribosomal RNA
Source: RNAcentral
AAUGAACGCUGGCGGUGUGCCUAAUACAUGCAAGUCGAACGACCACAUAGGAAGCUUGCUCCUCUACGGUUAGCGGCUGACGGGUGAGUGACACAUAGAUCGCCUACCUCUUAUACUGGGGUAACUUCGGGGAGCAGCAUCUGCUAAUGGCUCAUAUGUUGUACCGCUUGAUUCAAUGGUUAUUCGCGGUUUGGCUGUCUCUUUGAGCCGGUGUCGGAUUAGCUAGGUGGUUGGGUAAAGGCCCACCAAGGCAACGAUACGUAGCCGACCUGAGAGGAUGAUCGGCCACACUGGAACUGAGACACGGUCCAGACUCCUACGGGAGGCAGCAGUAGGGAAUCUUCGGCAAUGGGCGAAAGCCUGACGGAGCCAUGCCGCGUGGGUGAUGAAGGUCUUCGGAUUGUAAAACCCUGUUAUUAGGAAAGAAAAAAAGUGGAAUAAUAUACGGACGUCUUGACGGUACCUAAUCAGAAAGCCACGGCUAACUUCGUG